This 492-nucleotide ribosomal RNA is filed under the name uncultured bacterium. Its description in RNAcentral is "partial 16S ribosomal RNA". It matches the Rfam family "Bacterial small subunit ribosomal RNA", at positions 29 to 507 of the family's 1533-position model. The record is from RNAcentral.
AGUGAACGCUGGCGGUAGGCCUAACACAUGCAAGUCGAACGGCAGCACAGUAAGAGCUUGCUCUUACGGGUGGCGAGUGGCGGACGGGUGAGGAAUACAUCGGAAUCUACUUUUUCGUGGGGGAUAACGUAGGGAAACUUACGCUAAUACCGCAUACGACCUACGGGUGAAAGCAGGGGAGCUUCGGACCUUGCGCGAUUGAAUGAGCCGAUGUCGGAUUAGCUAGUUGGCGGGGUAAAGGCCCACCAAGGCGACGAUCCGUAGCUGGUCUGAGAGGAUGAUCAGCCACCCUGGAACUGAGACACGGUCCAGACUCCUACGGGAGGCAGCAGUGGGGAAUAUUGGACAAUGGGCGCAAGCCUGAUCCAGCCAUACCGCGUGGGUGAAGAAGGCCUUCGGGUUGUAAAGCCCUUUUGUUGGGAAAGAAAAGCAGCAGGUUAAUACCCCGCUGUUCUGACGGUACCCAAAGAAUAAGCACCGGCUAACUUCGUG